GUGCCAGCAGCCGCGGUAAUACGUAGGGUGCGAGCGUUAAUCGGAAUUACUGGGCGUAAAGCGAGCGCAGACGGUUAAAUAAGUCAGAUGUGAAAUCCCCGAGCUCAACUUGGGACGUGCAUUUGAAACUGUGUAACUAGAGUGUGUCAGAGGGAGGUAGAAUUCCACGUGUAGCAGUGAAAUGCGUAGAGAUGUGGAGGAAUACCGAUGGCGAAGGCAGCCUCCUGGGAUAACACUGACGUUCAUGCUCGAAAGCGUGGGUAGCAAACAGGAUUAGAUACCCUGGUAGUCCACGCCCUAAACGAUGACAAUUAGCUGUUGGGGUACUAGUUACCUUAGUAGCGAAGCUAACGCGUGAAAUUGUCCGCCUGGGGAGUACGGUCGCAAGAUUAAAACUCAAAGGAAUUGACGGGGGCCCGCACAAGCGGCGGAGCAUGCGGAUUAA
Molecule: ribosomal RNA, 445 nt
Filed under: uncultured bacterium
Lineage: Bacteria
Description: bacterial SSU rRNA
Rfam family: Bacterial small subunit ribosomal RNA
Source: RNAcentral